Molecule: ribosomal RNA, 1995 nt
Filed under: Triticum aestivum (bread wheat)
Lineage: Eukaryota; Viridiplantae; Streptophyta; Magnoliopsida; Poales; Poaceae
Description: partial small subunit ribosomal RNA
Source: RNAcentral
AUGUUCUGUAUGGAAGAUGCCAAGGAUAUCAAGCAAAUAUCGAUUGGUGGUCAUGGUGUGGGUGCAUCAUAUGAUGCAGAGGCCAGUGAUUUUAGUGCCAUUUUGGGACAAGAUAUCACACCAGAUUUCCUUGAUCUUGGAAUCACCGUUCCAAAUUCUGGUGGGGUGAUUCCACUGGGAACAUCGUCUGCUGGAGAAGUUGAUCAAUCCCUUCUCAAGCUGAAGCUGGACGAUUACAAGAUGCCUGGCGAAAAGAACCCAUACUCAUCACCUCCAAGGAGUCCUCCUGGUGGCAUCAAGCACUGCCUGCUUAGCCCAGUCACCCCUCUGGACCUGCUGGGCUCUCCGACCCAGCCAUGGAAGAAGCUCAGAGGAGUGGCGGCAGAGCUGGGGAUCGACAAGACUGGUGGCCAUGGAGGGGACAUGUCGAGCAUCAUGCUUGCAUUUUAAGCCAUGGUGACUGAAGGUUCGCGCACUCCGUCGCCGGGUCGCCGCCGUGUCUCGGCCUCGCCGGUGGUGCGCCGAGGCCGGAGCCCGACGCGGCGUGGCUGCCGUGAGGUGGUGGUGCAGCAGGAGGUCGUCCACCAGGCCAGCAGCACCGUCGUCUACCCGCCGCUGAUGGCGACGAACUACUUCGAGUGGUCGCUGAUCAUGAAGGCGACGGCAAAGGAGGCAUGGGAUGCCAUCAAGAUCAUGCGGGUCGGCGAUGCCCGCGUCCGUGAGGCCAAGGCGCAGACUCUCCUCAAGGAGUUUGAUGCCGUCCGCAUGAGGAGCGGCGAGACCCUUGAUGAGCUCACCAUGCGCAUGAACGGGAUCGCCAACAAGCUGCGCACACUCGGCGAGAACCUCGACGAGGUGAAGGUCGUGAAGAAGCUUCUCCGCAUCGUGCCGUCCAAGUAUACCCAGGUAGCUAUUGCCAUUGAACAGCUUCUUGAUCUUAAAACCAUGUCCAUGGAAGAGCUUGUGGGAAGGCUCAAGACGGCGGAGGACCGGAGCGAUUUGGACGAGGGCGCCAGCAACUACGACCAGGGUGGUGGGAGUCGCCUGCUCCUCACGGAGGAGGAGUGGCUUGCUCGCCACCGCAGCGGCGCCGGCAAGAAGAAGGGCAACUUCGACAUACGCAAGGUGCGUUGCUACAACUGUCAACAAGCCAUGGUGACUGAAGGUUCGCGUACUCCGUCGCCGGGUCGCCGCCGUGUCUCGGCCUCGCCGGUGGUGCGCCGAGGCCGGAGCCCGACGUGGCGUGGCUGCCGUGAGGUGGUGGUGCAGCAGGAGGUCGUCCACCAGGCCAGCAGCACCGUCGUCUACCCGCCGCUGAUGGCGACGAACUACUUCGAGUGGUCGCUGAUCAUGAAGGUGAACAUGGAGGCCCAACGCGUGUGGGACGGCAUCGAGGGAGGCGGGAGCUUCUGCCAGGACAGGGCGGCGCUUGCGGCAAUUCUGCGAGCCGUGCCGGAGGAGAUGCACUCCACGCUUGCCGUGAAGGCGACGGCAAAGGAGGCAUGGGAUGCCAUCAAGAUCAUGCGGGUCGGCGAUGCCCGCGUCCGUGAGGCCAAGGCGCAGACUCUCCUCAAGGAGUUUGAUGCCGUCCGCAUGAGGAGCGGCGAGACCCUUGAUGAGCUCGCCAUGCGCAUGAACGGGAUCGCCAACAAGCUGCGCACACUCGGCGAGAACCUCGACGAGGUGAAGGUCGUGAAGAAGCUUCUCCGCAUCGUGCCGUCCAAGCUCAAAACGGCGGAGGACCGGAGCGACUUGGACGAGGGCGCCAGCAACUACGACCAGGGUGGUGGGAGUCGCCUGCUCCUCACGGAGGAGGAGUGGCUUGCUCGCCACCGCAGCGGCGCCGGCAAGAAGAAGGGCAACUUCGACAUACGCAAGGUGCGUUGCUACAACUGUCAACAGUACGGACAUUACUCCAAGGACUGCACCGAGCCAAGGAAACAGCGGGCGCUUCUUGCUGCCGCGACGGCCGACGACGAGCCGGGGCUGCUUUGA